UUAAAUUAGUAAGGGCGCAUGGCGGAUGCCUUGGCACUAGAAGCUGAUGAAGGACGUGACGAACAACGAUAUGCUUCGGCGAGCUGUAAGUAAGCUUUGACCCGGAGAUUUCCGAAUGGGGAAACCCAGCAGUAGUAAUGUACUGUUAUCCUAUCAUGAAUACAUAGUGAUAGAGAAAGCAACCUGGCGAACUGAAACAUCUUAGUAACCAGAGGAAAAGAAAGAAAAAUCGAUUCCCUUAGUAGUGGCGAGCGAAAAGGGAUUAGCCCAAACCAAUCUUCGGAUUGGGGUAUAUAAGAGUUACAAAUUCUUUUUAUAGUUGAAUUCAAUGGAAAGUGAAACCAUAGUAGGUGAAAGUCCUGUAAACGAAAUAAAAAGAACUCUUUGAGGUAUCCUGAGUACAACGGAUCACGUGGAACUCUGUUGGAAUCCGCGGGGACCAUCCCGCAAGGCUAAAUACUCUCUAGUGACCGAUAGUGAACAAGUACCGAGAGGGAAAGGUGAAAAGAACCCCGGGAGGGGAGUGAAAUAGAAUACUGAAACCAUGUGCUUACAAAAAGUCAAAGUCCGUUAAUGGAUGAUGGCGUGCCUUUUGCAGAAUGAACCGGCGAGUUAAUGUUGCAUGCGAGGUUAAGUUGAAGAGACGGAGCCGUAGCGAAAGCGAGUCUUAAUAGGGCGAAUUAGUAUGUAGUAUUAGACCCGAAACCGAGUGAUCUAGCCAUGAGCAGGUUGAAGUUUAGGUAAAACUAAAUGGAGGACCGAACCGACGUACCCGGAAACGUGCGCGGAUGACUUGUGGCUAGCGGUGAAAUUCCAAACGAACUCGGAUAUAGCUGGUUCUCCCCGAAAUAGGUUUAGGCCUAGCCUUGAGAUUUAGCACUGUGGAGGUAGAGCACUGAAUAUAUGAUGGCCCCGUCUAGGGGUACUGAAUGUAAUCAAACUCCGAAUGCCAUGGUUGUAUGCUCAGGAGUCAGCGUAUGGGUGAUAACGUCCAUGCGCGAAAGGAAAAGAGUCCGGAUCGCCAGUUAAGGUCCCAAAAUUUGUACUAAGUGGGAAAGGAUGUGGAGUUGUCAAAACAGCUAGGAGGUUGGCUCAGAAGCAGCCAUCCUUUAAAGAGUGCGUAAUAGCUCACUAGUCGAGUGGCUCUGCGCCGAAAAUGUACCGGGGCUAAACAUAUUACCGAAACUGUGGAUUUAUGCGAUAGCAUAAGUGGUAGGGGAGCGUUCUAAGGGCGACGAAGAUAGAUCGAGAGGACUAUUGGAGCGCUUAGAAGUGAGAAUGCCGGUGUGAGUAACGUAAGGUAGGUGAGAAUCCUACCCACUGAUUGACCAAGGAUUCCAGGGUCAAGUUCGUCUACCCUGGGUAAGUCAGGACCUAAGGCGAGGCUGAGAAGCGUAGUCGAUGGACAACAGGUUUAUAUUCCUGUACUAUUUAUAGGACUGAAGGAGUGACAAAGGAAGCUAGUAAGAGCCAUUUAAUGGAUUAUGGUCUAAGCACAAAGACUGAUACAUAGGAAAAUCCGUGAUAUCGAACGGUUGAAGUGUGAUGGCGAAGCAGUCUACGGACAGCGAAGUCUUAUGAGGCUAAACUUUUUAAAAAAGCUUCUAAAGAAAUGCUAUAAAUACCUGUACUAAGAACCAACGCAGGUGGUCAAGGAGAGAAUCCUAAGGUGAGCGAGAGAACUAUGGUUAAGGAACUCGGCACAAUGAUCCCGUAACUUCGGAAUAAGGGAAGGUCUUGAAAAAGACCCGCAGUGAAUAGGCCCAAGCGACUGUUUACCAAAAACACAGGUUUCUGCAAAAGCGUAAGCUGAAGUAUAGGAGCUGACGCCUGCCCAGUGCUGGAAGGUUAAGAUGAUUUGUAAGAUGGACGAAAGUCGAUAACAUCGAAGCAAUGAAUUGAAGCCCCAGUGAACGGCGGCGAUAACUAUAAUCGUCCAAAGGUAGCGAAAUUCCUUGUCAGGUAAGUUCUGACCCGCACGAAAGGCGUAACGAUUUGGGCACUGUCUCAACCAUAGACUCGGUGAAAUCUUAAUACCUGUGAAAAUGCAGGUUACCAGCGACAGGACGGAAAGACCCCAUGGAGCUUUACUGUAGCUUGAUAUUGAAAUCAGGUAGUUAAUGUAGAGGAUAGGUGGUAGACAAUGAAGUUAAGACGCUAGUCUUAAUGGAGUCGACCUUGGAAUACCACCCUUUGACUAUUUGAUUUCUAACUUGCACCCGUAAUCCGGGUGAAGGACAGUGUCUGGUGGGCAGUUUGACUGGGGCGGUCGCCUCCUAAAGAAUAACGGAGGCGCUCAAAGGUUCCCUCAGAUUGGUCGGAAAUCAAUCAAAGAGUGUAUUGGUAUAAGGGAGCUUGACUGCGAGACCAACAAGUCGAGCAGGUGCGAAAGCAGGACAAAGUGAUCAGGCGGUAGAAAAUGGAAUUGCCGUCGCUUAACGGAUAAAAGUUACCCUGGGGAUAACAGGCUGAUACCACCCAAUAGUUCACAUAGACGGUGGUGAUUGGCACCUCGAUGUCGGCUCGUCACAUCCUGGAGGUGGAUUCGCUUCCAAGGGUUGGGCUGUUCGCCCAUUAAAGUGGCACGCGAGCUGGGUUCAGAACGUCGUGAGACAGUUCGGUCUCUAUCUGUUGUGGGCGCAGGAAAUUUGAGGGGUCCUGACUUUAGUACGAGAGGACCGAGUUGGACGAACCUCUGGUGUACCGGUUAUGCCGCCAGGUGUACCGCCGGGUAACCACGUUCGGACAGGAUAAGCGCUGAAAGCAUCUAAGCGCGAAGCCUACCCCAAGAUAAGAUUUCCCUUGAGGGUCGUAGGAGACUACUACGUUGAUAGGCCGCAGGUGUAAAGGCAGUAAUGUCAAAGCCGAGCGGUACUAAUUACCCGAACGACUUUCUGUA
This 2899-nucleotide ribosomal RNA is filed under the name human gut metagenome. Its description in RNAcentral is "bacterial LSU rRNA". It matches the Rfam family "Bacterial large subunit ribosomal RNA". The record is from RNAcentral.